Drosophila ficusphila is the source of this 579-nucleotide long non-coding RNA. RefSeq lists it as uncharacterized. The transcript has 2 exons. The record is from RefSeq and is a predicted model, not a curated record. Lineage: Eukaryota; Metazoa; Arthropoda; Insecta; Diptera; Drosophilidae.
UCGGUUAGAGCGUUUGCCACCUCCGGUCCUGAUUGACUUUGGCUCUCUGGCUCUCCAACUGGCUUCCAACCAUUAUUUUGAUAAAUAAUUGAAUAUUGUUUCAUUAUACGGCAAAACUUGCCCUGCAAAUGCAUUGUGGCUUCUGCUCCUGCCAUUCUGGCUCCUGCUGCCGACAUCAAAAUGCAAUUGACUUUUCACUAUAUUGCAACUUUGAGGUUUUACCACGGCAACCGUAUGGUCCCGACUUGAGUCGCAGUCGUUUCACCAAGCCGGCAAAGUGUUGCCCAUAAAUAGUAACUACUGCUCAAAAGUGAAGGGCUGAGCUGUAUCCUGCAGGAAUGCGGUGGUGGCGGUCAUGUGCGGUGCCCAGGAUGUCGGACACACCAAAGAGCAUUGGUGCACUGGGAGAAAGGAUGUCUUGAAAUCCAAAUCAAUCUUGGUUUGGUUUUACUUAUAACUUUACUCGUUGAAGGAUGUUGUCUAAUAUUUUUCUGUUCACUGAUAAUCGGCAUUUCUUUUAUGACAUAACAACCUGUGUUGAAACUACCAACAAAUAUAAUUUUUUUUUGUGCAACUAGA